This is a long non-coding RNA of Malus domestica (apple), 1606 nucleotides long. RefSeq lists it as uncharacterized. The record is from RefSeq and is a predicted model, not a curated record. Lineage: Eukaryota; Viridiplantae; Streptophyta; Magnoliopsida; Rosales; Rosaceae.
UAAUUCCCUCGGGCUCUCUCUCUCAAAAUUAAAAAAAACAACCAUGGAGGCCCGGGAGUCGAAGACGCGGCAUCGGUGAUCAACUCCGCCAACACUCCGCCGCCGCAGUUUGUGAACAAAAUCUGCGAUAUGGUGGAAGACCCCUCCACCGACGCCUUUGUCUCCCUCCUGGAGCAACGGCAACAACAGCUUCGGCGUCUGGAACGUCCCUGAGUUCUCGAGGGACAUCCUGCCCAAGUAUUUCAAGCACAGAAAAUUCUCUAGCUUCGUCAGGCAGUUGAAUGCUUAUGUGAAAAGGUGGAAGGAAAAAGGACAUUAAGAGGUCAGAACUACAUUGAGAUAUAAAAUUUGAGCCGACUACUUUUGUGCAAAUUGCCUUGUUUUACGUGCUUCUUGGAUAAAUUUGUUCCAUUGCAUUGCAUUACUCUGAAAAGAAAGGGGCAAGCAAAACCUACUCCUAACAAGUUGCUGGCUUUUCAGCCGUGCAAGUUGUGCUUAUUAUGCUGUGAGGGAAGAUCUUUUACAUUGAUGAAGAUAUUUUCUGAAACUGAUUGGUCGAUGUUUUCUCAAAAAUUUCAGUUGAAAUGCCAAUUGUAGUGAUUGUCAUUGUCAUAUCAGCAAUGUGUCUAGAUUAUUCAAUGUGCCCAUCAUACUUGGUGGCACAAGGAUGUUCAUUACUCUGGCAUCUGUAUACUUUGACUUUAUUUCUUCCCUCGAUCAGACCUUCACCCUCCAAGCUUGAUGAAACAUUAGGUGAAAUCAGUCCAAGUCCAGAGAAACCACUCAAAUCCAAGGUCGUGCAUUCUAACAAUUUGAUCAACAUAACCGUCUUUGAACCAAGGAACGAAAUGCAUUUCGUGCCUCUUCCAAAGUAUCGACAUUUGUAACCAACUAUAAACUUAUAAUAUAUUUCAACUUAAGCUCCUCAUCCAAUUGAUUGCAACUCCACUCUAGACUCAAGUAUGUUGUCUCUGUCAAACCUUUUCUCUCAAGACUGGAAUGAAACAUCAAAUGCAUUUAUAAUGUUCCCGGUAAGUUGGUUCCCAUCAAACCGGAUUCUAGACAAUGCCCAACAAUUCCUCAAGCACUCGGGCAAAUACCCAAUUAGAUUGUUAUUGUUCACUUUGAAACUUGCAAAGCGAAUCCGCUACACUACUCCGGUGCUCAAAACCGAUUGAAGAGUUUAAGGAAUUCUCACCAAGGUCAAGGUAGUGAAGCUUCCCGAGUUCGCCUAUUUCGAUGAAAUUUUCCCUUCGAGGGAAUUUUGAGAUGGGUCAACAUGUUGCAUGCAGUCCAGACAUUAAACCAAUAUCUUAAGGGAUUAGGCCACUAAUGUAUAUUGGUCCUUGGUAGACUUUGAAAAGUCUCAUCUUUUUUUUCUUGGUUAUUUUCACCUUAAUCUGUAUUUGUCCUGUUGUGCGUUUGGUUCAAGUAUGUCUCCUUAUUGUCUCGUUUGUUGUCAUCUGUGAGGAUGGUUUGUUAUUGUUUGCGAGAUGUUUUGCAGGAUUCAUAGAUAAUAGAUUUGGUAUGGGCUGCCGUGCGUGUAACUCUGUAAAGACUACUCUCUUCCUUUCAUUUAAAAUGGUAUAUCGAUUAUUUAUGUUGA